RNAcentral lists this unclassified non-coding RNA (216 nucleotides) under soil metagenome. RNAcentral's name for it is "partial contains 5.8S ribosomal RNA, internal transcribed spacer 2, and large subunit ribosomal RNA". The record is from RNAcentral.
AACUGAUACUACCUGCGGGAACCUGCGGAAGGAUCAUUACCGAGUUUACAACUCCCAAACCCAUGUGAACAUACCUGUCUUGUUGCUUCGGCGGCGCCCACGGCCCUCACGGGCUUGGGGCCCGCCAGAGGACCCAAACAAAACUCUUUGCAUUUUGAAUACAGUAUUCUGAGUGACAUGAUUAAAUAAAAUCAAAACUUUCAACAACGGAUCUCU